AGAGUUUGAUCCUGGCUCAGGACGAACGCUGGCGGCGUGCCUAAUACAUGCAAGUAGAACGCUGAAGAGAGGAGCUUGCUCUUCUUGGAUGAGUUGCGAACGGGUGAGUAACGCGUAGGUAACCUGCCUUGUAGCGGGGGAUAACUAUUGGAAACGAUAGCUAAUACCGCAUAACAAUGGAUGACACAUGUCAUUUAUUUGAAAGGGGCAAUUGUUCCACUACAAGAUGGACCUGCGUUGUAUUAGCUAGUAGGUGAGGUAAUGGCUCACCUAGGCGACGAUACAUAGCCGACCUGAGAGGGUGAUCGGCCACACUGGGACUGAGACACGGCCCAGACUCCUACGGGAGGCAGCAGUAGGGAAUCUUCGGCAAUGGGGGCAACCCUGACCGAGCAACGCCGCGUGAGUGAAGAAGGUUUUCGGAUCGUAAAGCUCUGUUGUAAGUCAAGAACGGGUGUGAGAGUGGAAAGUUCACACUGUGACGGUAGCUUACCAGAAAGGGACGGCUAACUACGUGCCAGCAGCCGCGGUAAUACGUAGGUCCCGAGCGUUGUCCGGAUUUAUUGGGCGUAAAGCGAGCGCAGGCGGUUUGAUAAGUCUGAAGUUAAAGGCUGUGGCUCAACCAUAGUUCGCUUUGGAAACUGUCAAACUUGAGUGCAGAAGGGGAGAGUGGAAUUCCAUGUGUAGCGGUGAAAUGCGUAGAUAUAUGGAGGAACACCGGUGGCGAAAGCGGCUCUCUGGUCUGUAACUGACGCUGAGGCUCGAAAGCGUGGGGAGCGAACAGGAUUAGAUACCCUGGUAGUCCACGCCGUAAACGAUGAGUGCUAGGUGUUGGAUCCUUUCCGGGAUUCAGUGCCGCAGCUAACGCAUUAAGCACUCCGCCUGGGGAGUACGACCGCAAGGUUGAAACUCAAAGGAAUUGACGGGGGCCCGCACAAGCGGUGGAGCAUGUGGUUCAAUUCGAAGCAACGCGAAGAACCUUACCAGGUCUUGACAUCCCGAUGCUAUUUCUAGAGAUAGAAAGUUACUUCGGUACAUCGGUGACAGGUGGUGCAUGGUUGUCGUCAGCUCGUGUCGUGAGAUGUUGGGUUAAGUCCCGCAACGAGCGCAACCCCUAUUGUUAGUUGCCAUCAUUCAGUUGGGCACUCUAGCGAGACUGCCGGUAAUAAACAGGAGGAAGGUGGGGAUGACGUCAAAUCAUCAUGCCCCUUAUGACCUGGGCUACACACGUGCUACAAUGGUUGGUACAACGAGUUGCGAGUCGGUGACGGCGAGCUAAUCUCUUAAAGCCAAUCUCAGUUCGGAUUGUAGGCUGCAACUCGCCUACAUGAAGUCGGAAUCGCUAGUAAUCGCGGAUCAGCACGCCGCGGUGAAUACGUUCCCGGGCCUUGUACACACCGCCCGUCACACCACGAGAGUUUGUAACACCCGAAGUCGGUGAGGUAACCUUUUGGAGCCAGCCGCCUAAGGUGGGACAGAUGAUUGGGGUGAAGUCGUAACAAGGUA
This 1506-nucleotide ribosomal RNA is filed under the name metagenome. RNAcentral describes it as "bacterial SSU rRNA". It matches the Rfam family "Bacterial small subunit ribosomal RNA". The record is from RNAcentral.